This 440-nucleotide ribosomal RNA is filed under the name uncultured bacterium. RNAcentral's name for it is "partial 16S ribosomal RNA". It matches the Rfam family "Bacterial small subunit ribosomal RNA", at positions 339 to 795 of the family's 1533-position model. The record is from RNAcentral.
CUACGGGACGCUGCAGUCGGGAAUAUUGCGCAAUGGAGGAAACUCUGACGCAGUGACGCCGCGUAUAGGAAGAAGGUUUUCGGAUUGUAAACUAUUGUCGUUAGGGAAGAUAAAAGACAGUACCUAAGGAGGAAGCUCCAGCUAACUACGUGCCAGCAGCCGCGGUAAUACGUAGGGAGCAAGCGUUAUCCGGAUUUAUUGGGUGUAAAGGGUGCGUAGACGGGAAGACAAGUUAGUUGUGAAAUCCCUCGGCUUAACUGAGGAACUGCAACUAAAACUAUUUUUCUUGAGUGUUGGAGAGGAAAGUGGAAUUCCUAGUGUAGCGGUGAAAUGCGUAGAUAUUAGGAGGAACACCGGUGGCGAAGGCGACUUUCUGGACAAUAACUGACGUUGAGGCACGAAAGUGUGGGGAGCAAACAGGAUUAGAUACCCUCGUAGUC